GAUGAACGCUGGCGGCGUGCCUAAUACAUGCAAGUCGAGCGAACAGACGAGGAGCUUGCUCCUCUGACGUUAGCGGCGGACGGGUGAGUAACACGUGGAUAACCUACCUAUAAGACUGGUAUAACUUCGGGAAACCGGAGCUAAUACCGGAUAAUAUAUUGAACCGCAUGGUUCAAUAGUGAAAGACGGUUUUGCUGUCACUUAUAGAUGGAUCCGCGCCGCAUUAGCUAGUUGGUAAGGUAACGGCUUACCAAGGGGACGAUGCGUAGCCGAGCUGAGAGGGGGAUAGGCCACCCUGGAACUGGGACACGGUCCAGGCUCCUACGGGAGGCAGCAGUAGGGAAUCUUCCGCAAUGGGCGAAAGCCUGACGGAGCAACGCCGCGUGAGUGAUGAAGGUCUUCGGAUCGUAAAACUCUGUUAUUAGGGAAGAACAAAUGUGUAAGUAACUAUGCACGUCUUGACGGUACCUAAUCAGAAAGCCACGGCUAACUACGUG
This 497-nucleotide ribosomal RNA is filed under the name uncultured bacterium. RNAcentral's name for it is "partial 16S ribosomal RNA". It matches the Rfam family "Bacterial small subunit ribosomal RNA", at positions 28 to 507 of the family's 1533-position model. The record is from RNAcentral.